AUUGAACGCUGGCGGCAUGCCUUACACAUGCAGGUCGAACGGUAACAGGUCUUCGGAUGCUGACGAGUGGCGAACGGGUGAGUAAUACAUCGGAUCGUGCCCGAUCGUGGGGGAUAACGAAGCGAAAGCUUUGCUAAUACCGCAUAAGAUCUAAGGAUGAAAGCAGGGGACCGCAAGGCCUUGCGCGAACGGAGCGGCCGAUGGCAGAUUAGGUAGUUGGUGGGAUAAAAGCUUACCAAGCCGACGAUCUGUAGCUGGUCUGAGAGGACGACCAGCCACACUGGGACUGAGACACGGCCCAGACUCCUACGGGAGGCAGCAGUGGGGAAUUUUGGACAAUGGGCGAAAGCCUAAUCCAGCCAUGCCGCGUGCAGGAUGAAGGCCUUCGGGUUGUAAACUGCUUUUGUACGGAACGAAAAGACUCUUUCUAAUAAAGAGGGUCCAUGACGGUACCGUAAGAAUAAGCACCGGCUAACUACGUGCCAGCAGCCGCAGUAA
This 498-nucleotide ribosomal RNA is filed under the name uncultured bacterium. RNAcentral's name for it is "partial 16S ribosomal RNA". It matches the Rfam family "Bacterial small subunit ribosomal RNA", at positions 30 to 523 of the family's 1533-position model. The record is from RNAcentral.